AAACAUGUCUUUUAGAUUAAUAAUUUAAAGUCUGAUCUGCCCACUGAUAUAAAAUUAAAGGGCUGCAGUAUAUUGACUGUACAAAGGUAGCAUAAUCAAUAGUCUUUUAAUUGAAGACUUGUAUGAAAGAUUUGAUGAAAUAUAAACUGUCUCUGAUUUAAAAUUAGAACUUAAUUUUUUAGUUAAAAAGCUAAAAUUUAUUUAAAAGACGAGAAGACCCUAUAGAGUUUUAUAUUAUUUUUAUUUAAGAUUUUAUUUAUAAUUAAUAAUUAAAAAUAAUAAUAAUAUUUUAUUGGGGUGAUAGAAAAAUUAAAAUAACUUUUUUUAAAUUAGAACAUAAAUAAGUGAAAUUAUGAUCCAUAAUUAAUGAUUAGAAGAAAAAAUUACCUUAGGGAUAACAGCGUAAUAUUUUUUUUUAGUACAAAUAAGAAAGAAAGUUUGCGACCUCGAUGUUGGAUUAAGAUAAAAAUWAAAUGCAAAAGUUUAAAUUUUUGAUCUGUUCGAUCAUUAAAAUCUUACAUGAUCUGA
Molecule: ribosomal RNA, 528 nt
Filed under: Neptis sp. SG-2012
Lineage: Eukaryota; Metazoa; Arthropoda; Insecta; Lepidoptera; Nymphalidae
Description: partial 16S ribosomal RNA
Rfam family: Archaeal large subunit ribosomal RNA
Source: RNAcentral